RNAcentral lists this long non-coding RNA (490 nucleotides) under Prunus dulcis (almond). RNAcentral's name for it is "sRNA ncRNA". Lineage: Eukaryota; Viridiplantae; Streptophyta; Magnoliopsida; Rosales; Rosaceae. The record is from RNAcentral.
AUGGAUCAGAAAGAAGAAGAAUGCUGGGACUUGGAGGUAUGCAAGUUUGCAUUUUAGCCUUGCCCUUCUACCUUUUCCAUGCUUUGCUAUUCGAUUCUUGCUUGAGAUAAGAGUAGAAUCUUCUUAAUCUGUCUUUAAUUCUUUGUUGUGUUACAACUACCUUACCUGUGACAAAGCUACUAGUUUAUUCACAAUUCGUGGGUUCUAAAAUUUGUUGUUUAUGGUAAACAGUUUCAAAAUUUGUGUAUCUAAUAUAUAUAAAAAAUUGUAAAUAAAUUACUGUAGGAUUUAAUUAACUUAAAUUUGUAAUGGCAUACAUCUUUGUGAUUUUUGUGAUAUUAUGUUUAAAUUUGCAGAGGCAAAUAAUGCCAAGAAACCUAGCCCUGCUUGGGAAUCUAAGCAAUUGGAGUUUACUUGCUCCCAAGUUAAUGUUCUAGAAUGUUCGGAUCUGCUGUGGGGUUUUUCCCUUCCUCAAGGCUUCUCCUCUUAG